UUUGCACAGAGGAUUAGAUGGAGCUAUGA
This 29-nucleotide non-coding RNA is filed under the name Homo sapiens (human). The record is from RNAcentral. Lineage: Eukaryota; Metazoa; Chordata; Mammalia; Primates; Hominidae.